Molecule: ribosomal RNA, 417 nt
Filed under: uncultured Bacillus sp.
Lineage: Bacteria; Bacillati; Bacillota; Bacilli; Caryophanales; Bacillaceae
Description: bacterial SSU rRNA
Rfam family: Bacterial small subunit ribosomal RNA
Source: RNAcentral
UUACGGGGGGGGAACGGGAAGACCCUUCCCAGUUCUUGACAUCUCCUGACCACCCUAGAGAUAGGGCUUUCCCUUCGGGGACAGGAUGACAGGUGGUGCAUGGUUGUUGUCAGCUCGUGUCGUGAGAUGUUGGGUUAAGUCCCGCAACGAGCGCAACCCUUGUUCUUAGUUGCCAGCAUUCAGUUGGGCCCUUUAAGGAGACUGCCGGUUAAAAGUCGGAGGAAGGUGGGGAUGACGUCAAAUCAUCAUGCCCCUUAUGACCUGGGCUACACACGUGCUACAAUGGAUGGUACAAAGGGCUGCGAUGCCGCGAGGUGGAGCCAAUCCCAAAAAACCAUUCUCAGUUCGGAUUGCAGGCUGCAACUCGCCUGCAUGAAGCCGGAAUCGCUAGUAAUCGCGGAUCAGCAUGCCCGUCGU